This 425-nucleotide long non-coding RNA is filed under the name Homo sapiens (human). Its description in RNAcentral is "HSALNT0263297". Lineage: Eukaryota; Metazoa; Chordata; Mammalia; Primates; Hominidae. The record is from RNAcentral.
UGAUGAUAGCGGCUGGCCUGGCUGGAGACAUGUCCCCGUGGUGGGUUCUCAUAACUCUCCUGGAAGGCUAGCAGGCCUGCCUCAUCGAGGAGGAAACUGAGAUCCAGCCAUGAGUGAGCUGGAAUAGAGCUGGGAGUAGGAAUGGGGUCUUUCCCCUGCACCAGAAAGGGAGCCUGCAGGGGAAAGGCCGAUGGGGUGCAUAGACUCUCCCCAACCAGGAGUGUUCCAUCCAAGCCCUGCCCAGUUCCCAAGGGGGCAGGAAGCUCGGAGAGGGCAAAUCCUGAACUUGAGGUCACACAGACCAUAGAGUGAGGAUGAGAAGUGGGAGUUUUGGAGGAAGAGAGACUUGGGGUGGACGGCACAAAAUGAGUGGCCUCCCUGGCGAUCUUGGACAAGCCAGUUUCCCUCUGGGCCUCAGUGGGAGA